RNAcentral lists this long non-coding RNA (315 nucleotides) under Trifolium pratense (red clover). Its description in RNAcentral is "long non-coding RNA (TPRA_LNC007953)". The record is from RNAcentral. Lineage: Eukaryota; Viridiplantae; Streptophyta; Magnoliopsida; Fabales; Fabaceae.
CAAUUACAAUGUGACCUAACAAAAUUAAAUUUCCUAGAAGAAGUGUUAUAAGCUUAGCAAUGACUCAAAUUUCAGAAUGAGUCAUGAAUCAGAGAGAAGAAUGAAUUGCAAGAAGUAGAGACUGAGAAUGGGAAAACGUCAUUGAGGAUGACACAUUGAAACAGAGCGGCGACGAAGAGGAAGAGGAGUAACUCAAAAGGGUUCACUCAACGGUGAAGAGGAAGAUGCAACGCAAUUUCUGGUGCGCUAGAUGGACAGAGGAAGCGGCGGCAGGCGGCGAUGAAAGGAAUACGGAGUUCUGUAAUCAAUGUGGAA